Lutra lutra (Eurasian river otter) is the source of this 413-nucleotide long non-coding RNA. RefSeq lists it as uncharacterized. The record is from RefSeq and is a predicted model, not a curated record. Lineage: Eukaryota; Metazoa; Chordata; Mammalia; Carnivora; Mustelidae. The transcript is spliced from 3 exons.
AGGCUGCAUGCUGGGGGUUCAUUAAUGUGUUGAUGUUGGCAAUGAGGAACCAGCCAGGCAAAACCAAAAGAAUGUGGGAUAGAAGAAGCAAGAACACGCUUGUGUGAUGGUGACAAGGUUGCAGCAGAGAGGGGAGAAUGGCCAGAGCUGCUGAACAGUGUGGUUCAAAGAGGGGAAAAUGCAGGCAUCCUGGCUGCUCUCUGCUCAACCCAGCCUCAGGAGAAGAUGGUCUCAGAAGCCGUCGUGCCCAGAGCAGAGGCUGAGGCUAAACCAGGAAGUGUUCCUUUUGAGCUGCCUGCAGUCCAUCCUCGGAGAUGGCCCACCACCCACCAGCCAGCCAGUCAACAAACACUCAUUCUAUUUACUGAACACCGACCAAGCUCAGCCCAGCGCUGAGUGCUUGCUGAGAAUUU